This 26-nucleotide small RNA is filed under the name Bombyx mori (domestic silkworm). RNAcentral describes it as "ovarian small RNA-15047". The record is from RNAcentral. Lineage: Eukaryota; Metazoa; Arthropoda; Insecta; Lepidoptera; Bombycidae.
GAAACGAUAUGAUGAUAUAGUAUUGU